Molecule: ribosomal RNA, 471 nt
Filed under: Salmonella enterica
Lineage: Bacteria; Pseudomonadati; Pseudomonadota; Gammaproteobacteria; Enterobacterales; Enterobacteriaceae
Description: bacterial SSU rRNA
Rfam family: Bacterial small subunit ribosomal RNA
Source: RNAcentral
AAAUUGAAGAGUUUGAUCAUGGCUCAGAUUGAACGCUGGCGGCAGGCCUAACACAUGCAAGUCGAACGGUAACAGGAAGCAGCUUGCUGCUUCGCUGACGAGUGGCGGACGGGUGAGUAAUGUCUGGGAAACUGCCUGAUGGAGGGGGAUAACUACUGGAAACGGUGGCUAAUACCGCAUAACGUCGCAAGACCAAAGAGGGGGACCUUCGGGCCUCUUGCCAUCAGAUGUGCCCAGAUGGGAUUAGCUAGUUGGUGAGGUAACGGCUCAGCAAGGCGACGAUCCCUAGCUGGUCUGAGAGGAUGACCAGCCACACUGGAACUGAGACACGGUCCAGACUCCUACGGGAGGCAGCAGUGGGGAAUAUUGCACAAUGGGCGCAAGCCUGAUGCAGCCAUGCCGCGUGUAUGAAGAAGGCCUUCGGGUUGUAAAGUACUUUCAGCGGGGAGGAAGGUGUUGUGGUUAAUAACC